CGACCCCAUGGUCAGGCGGGGUUACCCGCUGAAUUUAANCAUAUCAAUAAGCGGAGGAAAACAAACUUACAAAGAUUCCCCUAGUAACGGCGAGCGAACCGGGAAUAGCCAGCUUGAAAAUCGGGCGCCCAUGGCGUCCAAUUGUACGGNAAAAANCCUGNA
Molecule: ribosomal RNA, 162 nt
Filed under: Prunus lusitanica
Lineage: Eukaryota; Viridiplantae; Streptophyta; Magnoliopsida; Rosales; Rosaceae
Description: partial 28S ribosomal RNA
Rfam family: Eukaryotic large subunit ribosomal RNA
Source: RNAcentral